Molecule: non-coding RNA, 544 nt
Organism: Oncorhynchus mykiss (rainbow trout)
Lineage: Eukaryota; Metazoa; Chordata; Actinopteri; Salmoniformes; Salmonidae
Source: RefSeq, a predicted model, not a curated record
AGAGAGGCUAGCACUGGAGUAAUAUGAUACAAUUUUGGGGUUAUAGUCAAGAUUCUAGCAGCCAUAUUUAGCACUUACUGAACUGUAUUUAGUAAUGUAUCCAGGUAGCCAGAGAGUAGAGCACCCAGUUGUCUAAUCUAGAAGUGACAAAAGCAUUAGUUUUUCUGCACCAUUUUUGGACAAUGAGUUUCAGAUUGUUGCUAUGUUACGAAGAUGGAAAAGAACGCUCUUGAAAUUUGCUUGAUAUGUUCGCCAAAAGAGAGUCCAGAGUAAGGCCGAGAUCCUUCACAUAUUAUUUGAGACUACUGUACAACCAUCAACAUUAACUGUCAGAUGAAUGCACAGCACUGUGAAGAUUUUUAGGUGAGCAGUGCCCAAUUUGUCAAAGGCAGGGGCGCAACAUAUUUUGUUUGUCCAUUCCCAGCUCUCCUCUCCAGGGUGCUGUUGGAGAGAUCCCUCUCUACAGCGCUCCACCAACGUUCUGACAAAAAAAAUGAUAAAUCAUGUAAAUCAUGUAGCAGCUAUAGGAUAUGGUAGAAAGAGG